CAGCGGUUACCGCGCAGGCGCAGUAACGCCCAGACGCCAGGGCUGAAGGGACGCCGUUGCCGGGCGGCCUGGCGCUGAAGGCUGCGGACUAGUCUCGGGGUGGGCGGCUUCGCCAUGGAGGAGGGUGGCGGCGGCGGAGGGUUCCGCCUGUCAGCCGAGUGCCUGGACGAGCCCCCCAACAGCCGCGUGUUCCUGGUGCUGGGGAAGGACACGGGGGAGGCGCUGAUCCGGGAGCGCUUCGCCCCGUUCGGGGAGAUCCAGGACAUCUGGCUGGUGCGGGACAAGCGCACCCACGAGUCCCGCGGCAUCGCCUUCGUCAAGUUCGCCCGCAGCUCGCAGGCCUGCCGGGCCAUGGAGGAGAUGCACGGCCGGAGCCUGGCGCCCGACACCAAGCCCAUCAAGGUGUUCAUUGCGCAGUCCAGAGCUUCUGGAAGCCACCGCGAUGUUGAAGAUGAAGAGCUUACACGCAUCUUUGUUAUGAUACCAAAGUCCUAUACAGAGGAAGAUCUGAGGAAUAAGUUUAAGGUGUAUGGAGACAUUGAAUAUUGUAGCAUUAUUAAGAAGAAGACCACAGGAGAAAGUAAAGGUUUGGGCUAUGUGAGGUAUUUAAAACCAUCCCAAGCUGCCCUGGCAAUAGAAGAGUGUGAUCGAAGUUACAGGGCCAUUUUGGCUGAACCUAAAAGCAAGCCGUCUGAAUCAUCUGAACGUGAAUAUUACGGUAGUAGCAGUAGUAUGAGGCAGGAGCCAGUGGGGCAUGACCCAGGGCCUAGAGGGAGUGUGUUUCCCUUUGAAGGGCAGCCAGAAUUUGGUAGUUUUGAAAAGAGUCAGACAAGAGUUCGAGAAUCCGUUUCCAAACGCCUGUCAGUGGUAUCACGACUCCCCUUCAUACAAGAGCAGCUGUUCUUCCUCUUUGAUCUAGUCCCAGGACUGGAGUAUUGUGAUGUUCAGCGAGAUCCUCAUACAAACCAUGGGCAUGCUGUGAUUCAGUAUACUACUGCAGCAUCAGCUAUAUAUGCCAAAUACAAGCUACAUGGUUUUGAAUAUCCUCCUGGAAAUCGGCUAGGUGUAACUUUCCUUGAAGAUGGGAGUGACGGAUUGGACCACAUCAGAAAAAUGGCAACACAGCUGGUGACUUCACAAGUGUCAUCAAUGGUGUCACAUAAUAAUCUAGUUGGUCAGCAAUAUACAUCUUCUCAGCCGUACAGUGGAAGUUCUAGCUCUCAGUUAUCUCAGCCCCAAACAGAUGCUGUACUUCCAUCACGCAAAAAAAAAGUUCCUCCUGAGACUUCUGUGAAGGAAAGGCUUUUCAUAGUGUUUUAUCCUCAUCCCUUACCUGUAAAUGUGUUGGAGGAUGUAUUCUGUCGGUUUGGACAUCUUAUAGAAGUUUACCUUGUGACAGGAAAAAAUGUGGGCUAUGCUAAGUUUGCAGACAGAACAAGUGCUAGCGAUGCCAUAACUUCAUUACAUGGCAAGAUUGUGAAUGGUGUCCGGCUUAAAGUAAUGUUGGCAGAUUCACCUGCAGAAGAAUCUAACAAACGUCAAAGAACUUACUGACUCAAUGGGCAGAGAUUGCUCCAUAAAGAGGAGUUUGGGGCUUAAAACCAUCCGUCUUUCAGGAAAGAUCCUUUUUGAUGGAGCUUGGCAGAGCUAAGAAUGGUAUAGUCUAAGGGAGGAGUAAGCGGAGUCGACGGGGGAGCCGCCGCACUCGACUCGCCGCCGUGAGGGCGGCCAGGUAAGUCGAACUAAGAUACUUCGACUUCAGCUACGUGAAUAGCAUAGCUGAAGUUGUGUAUCUUAGUUCGAAAUUACCCCCUAGUGUAGCCUAGGCCUUAGUGUCACAGGUGAGGUCAGGGUCCUGUCGUUAACCAAAGAGUGCUAUGCAUCUUUUUGGUCAGGAUUCCCCUCCAUGUACAAUAAGUAGUACUGUUGAAGAUCCAGUUGGUGUAGUCCUCCUUCCAUUUUGUGAAGAUCUUUUAAGGACUCCAAGAGAGAAUCUUUAGGGUUUUCAAGUGAAGUGAACUUAAAAUAUAAGAGUUGUGCUGAGCUAAGCUAAUGGUGUCUAGGAGCAGCAGCAUUCAUUUCAGGGGUCCGGUUCUGGCUGUGCAGGACAACAUUUUUUCCUGUGACUUUAUCUAGUGAGUAUGUUGGAUAUGCUUGCUGCCUCUUAUUUUUGGGGUGUAAAUUUUGUUCAGAUCUGGAAUGAGAGAGAGAACCAAAAUAACUGUAGAGUCAGAGCAAGGUUUUUGGAGGCAAUGGGCAAAGAUACACUCCAGUGCCGCUUAGGAGCGGAACGGCCUUUUAUUUCAGUUUGCUUCCUAAAAAGUUUUCAUAUGUUCUCUGAAGGAAAUCUACAUUUCAUAAACCAUGUGUAGUUGGGGUGCACGAUGUUGAGGAGAGUAUUGAGCCUAGGCUUUCUAAUGCUGUCCUUCCACUUCAAAGCAUAAAAUUAAAACCUUUCCUCCACUACAGAGGAAUCUGAUAAAUAUUCAUAAUAAUCAAGAAUGGCCAGUAAUGUUAAUGUAGACUAUACAGUGCAGUAGCAAGUCUGCUAUUAAUAUAGCAUGAAACAUAUGAGAGAUAAGGACAAACUAGUUUUUGAAAGCCUGACUGCACUGUAGAUGCUCCACUUAAGUUUCGCAAUGGCCUUUUAAAAUUAACAACAGUUUGUUUUUUUUAAUCUGAUUUUGGAAUAUAUUUUUGUCUCAAAAUGUGGUUAUAGUAAGUGGCUAAACAGCAUUGUGAAGUUCCAUGUUUCUCUGCUGAUUCCAUGUCAAAGAUUGCUCAGUUCGUAAACAAAAAGAUAUUUUGUUCAAACUUCUAGCGCUGCAAACUCAUCAUGGAGAUCUGAGCCAUUUCUUACGCAUGUAAAAUAUUACAAGCAAAGUUGGAGUUGCACAGAUGUAAAAGAGCAUAAUGUGGUGACAAGGACAAAAAGGAACCAAGUGCAGUUCUUACAACAGAAAAAGUUGAAACUAACCAGCGAGCUAAAAAGCAGUUUUGUUUAACUGUGGUCUUCCUCGCGUCAUUCCCCAUUUUUCCCUUUUCUUUUCCUUCUCCCACAGUAAAUCUGAAAAGCAGCCCUGCUGCAUCUCCAGCAGGAUGCAGCACACAAAAAUGGUGUCUCCCGUUUUGAGCUGCUGCUGUAGGAAUGCUAGCACUGGUGCGUCAAAAGGAACGACCUUUCAGUAGUAUUGUGGCACACUGAAAGCACGUUUUGUAAAACGUAACAUUUUACUCCUACCGGUGACCAAAUGUAGACAGGCUUUGCUUUUUUUUCCCCACAAUGUAUGCACGAUUAUGACUUCUGUCCCUAUGGUUAAAUUAUCUUUCUAAAUUGUGGUUUACUAAUCCGUAACUUCUUAGAUCUUUUUUAUCUAGGGUAAUUUAUUCCAGAGGUCUAAGGAUUAAAUGUUCUAAUACAUUAAAUAUGGUCACUGUUUUUCCCUCUCCCCCCCGCCCAGAAAUUAGUUGUUUGUUUUCUUAAAACAGGAGAUAUAAAACAUUUAAACUGAUAUGCCUCUCGCAUUGCAUUUCCAGUGUUCUGUAACUCUAGCUUCUAAUACUUUGUUUUUGAGCAGCAGCUAUAGAUUUUCCUAAAAUGUUGAACUUCUGGCAUGCAGGUUUAGGAAUCUGGCUAAAAUAGGCAUCCAAGGUACAACUUGAUUGUUUCUUUCGCAGUUUGUGUAAUAGUGUAAAACUUUUUUUAUUAAAAAAGAUAUAUGGAUGUAUAUUGAAAAUUUUUUUUGGUUUGUUUAACUUUGGUUAGCACACUAGCAUAGAUGUUAUAAGAAGAUGCUGCAUAUCUGUGCAAGUGCCUGUUCUUUUUAAAAGAAAUUUCCAAUUUUGCAAAAGUAAUGGUAUUGUUUAUAUAUCUCCACUGAAGAACUGAGACGGUUGUCUUUCGAUAAGGACUGCCAUUUUAAUUAUUUUUCCCAUUAGAAAACAUUGGAAAAAGGUUGAACUCUGAAACUUUCCAUGAACUUUGAAAUGGAUUGAAUUCCAAUGCUUUAAAAUAGAAAGAUGUUUCUUUUUCUUACUUUGCAUCAUGAAAUUAUCAAGAUAAUGGCUUAUUGUGUAAUUGAUCCCUCUUAUGAGUGAUUUAUACCUUUUGUAAUUAAUGUUUAGCGUAUCUUUUAGAUGAUGGUGAAGUUUUCCUUUGAGUGGCUGUACGUUGACCUUUGUAGGGAAAGAUUGGAGUUAACUUUAGCAUAAUUUUGCACACAAAAAAUAAAUAGGAGUGCCAUUAACUAUUUUUCCAUAGGGCAACUGAGCAGGAGGGUUAAAACAGAUAUUACAGGGGUUACAAAAACAUGGUGGAAUAGCACUCAUGACUGGAAUAUAGCUAUUGAAUGGUAUGUACUGUUUAGGAGCGAUUGGAAUAAAGGUAAAAGUGGUGCGGUAGUGUUGUACAUCAAUGAAACAGUAAACUAAAGAAAUACGAAGUGAUAGUAUGGACAAAACAGAGCUUGUUUUGGGUCCAAAUCACUUUGGGGAAGAAUUGUAUUGGGAUUGUGUUAGGGGUCUGCUAUAGACCCCCAGGGUCAGAUUCCUGGGGUCUUACAGUAUAAGCAAUCAAAUAUGUUCAAAAAUAGAGAGGCACAUUAUUAAAGAACUAGAACAUAAUUUCAUUCACAAGAUAAUACACAAUAUGUUUCAGAAAAAAUGCUUGCUUUCACACAGAAUUUGUUAGAGAACCAGGGAAUCCUACAUAGAGUAUUAGCUUCUCUAAAUAUUUUAAUUAUAGACUUGCUUUUAUGUGUGGGUUGGAGUGCCAUUAUAAGAAAUACCUUUAUUAUAAUGUGUAUUUUUAAAUAAAUAUAGGUAUUUUAUCUUUGACACUAUCUUCAUUCUUGUAUUCUUUCUACAGCGCAGAGACUAAAUAAUGACAUGACCCUCAGCUGACUGACU
Chelonia mydas (Green sea turtle) is the source of this 4908-nucleotide RNA transcript. It is a transcript of the gene named RNA binding motif protein 45, with no coding region annotated. The transcript is spliced from 11 exons. The record is from RefSeq and is a predicted model, not a curated record. NCBI's taxonomy places the organism in Eukaryota, Metazoa, Chordata, Testudines, Cheloniidae.